Peromyscus eremicus (cactus mouse) is the source of this 918-nucleotide long non-coding RNA. RefSeq lists it as uncharacterized. The record is from RefSeq and is a predicted model, not a curated record. The transcript has 2 exons. NCBI's taxonomy places the organism in Eukaryota, Metazoa, Chordata, Mammalia, Rodentia, Cricetidae.
AUAAUAUCAAUGCAAGUUUGAAACAGUGCCUUAUAUGGUCUAAUAGCUGUGCAAGGAAUAUUUGCUAAGAGCUUCACAGCAGUUCAAUACGGGAAUUUCACCCUCAGCCUAAGAUGAGGCUUUAUGGUAGCUUUUCUGCUGUAACAGAAACGUUUGUCUGAAUUACGGCACAGGGAAGCUGUUAUGAAUUUGGGUAAAGGGACAGCCUCUAGUUAGAAACCAUUUACCGCUGAGAGCACAUCGCCGGGGGUUCGGAAUGGCUGAGAGAGCUUGGCAAGAAAGGGCCAAUAUCCUGCCACAGUCUUGUAAAACUGAACACCAUGAACAGCCUCUUGUGACUUCCCUUGCUGUAUCAUUUUGAACUGAAACUUUCUCAGAAACUUCCUGUGAUGGAGUGUCAAGCCCAGAUUCCCCUUCUAGGAAGAGAAAGAAAUGAAGAAGUCAGCACAAUAACAGGAUGGAGAAGGAAUCACAAAGAAUGAAUACAGAAAAAUCUGAGUCAGAUACUAAUGAUGCUACUGCGGAUAACACUGAAUACAGCAUCCCACAACCUGUGCCGUAUGUCAGACACUCAUCUUUACAGCACCCAGCAAGUGUUAGGAACUAUGCUAUGGACAUAUCAGCUAUGGCAACUAUACCCACUCUUACUUUUUAAGAGGUUAAAAAACUGAAGAAUAGACUGCUUUGGGGAGUGGCCAAAAUCACCUUGCUCCUCUGCAAGGAAGAUCAGGUUUGGAGAAAGGCGACCAAGUCAACUUUAUAGAGGACACGGAUUCUUAGAUGUAGUAGGGAAAGUAAGGCAGGAAAAAGACAAGUACAGGGUUCUCUUAGAACAGAACCAAGGGUGAAGCAGGGGGUCACAGCAGAGGAUUUCAUCAGCUGUGGAGAAAUGCAAAUUAAUAUCCUUUAUCCAUUUCA